RNAcentral lists this unclassified non-coding RNA (412 nucleotides) under Hevea brasiliensis (rubber tree). Lineage: Eukaryota; Viridiplantae; Streptophyta; Magnoliopsida; Malpighiales; Euphorbiaceae. The record is from RNAcentral.
AAAAAAAAAAAAAAAAAGAGGUGGAAGUAAUGUUUUAUAUGAUUAACUUAUACAAAUGCUCUCAUUUUUUACACAAAAGAACCCUCUCAUACUCGUAUCACUGUUUUACACCAGUAAGUUAUGCUUCUUGGUCUCAUGCUGUUGUUCAUCCAUUCAUGAGACAUGGCUUCCAUGUGUAGACAGUUCCCUUUGAGUUUUGACAUAUGGAUAUUAUGUUUAAUCUCAAACUUGUGCUACCUACAUAGGUUUAUACAUAGAUGUAUGUUUCACAGGCUUUGAUGUAUGUUUCACAGGCGUUGUGUUGAAAUUAAUUGUUAUUAUGUAUUAAAUAACUCCUACAUUUCCUUGUGAAAAUCAUGUAGGCCUUUCUAGUUCUCGCUUAACCUGUUGCUCUUGAAUCACCAGGGCCUCA